Molecule: long non-coding RNA, 648 nt
Filed under: Equus caballus (horse)
Lineage: Eukaryota; Metazoa; Chordata; Mammalia; Perissodactyla; Equidae
Description: lncRNA (ENSECAG00000048733.1)
Source: RNAcentral
GUCCGCGCUCAGGAUCCGAACCCUGGGCCGCCGCAGUGGAGUGUGCGAACUUAACCAGUUGGCCACAGAGCUGGCCCCCGAAGGGUUUCUUCUUUUUCUGCCUGAAGAUCUACAGAGGCCUGGACUUGCAAUUGGAAUCGCCCUAGCACUCAGGAGCCUGGACGGGCCUGGGAGAAAGAGACAGAUGAAGAUGUGGAUUAGGUCCAUUAUCCCUCAGCAUAUGUCGACGUUAAUAAGUGUGUUCUAUGUAGAUUCAUUAAUCCACUUUUCGGAAUUGAAAAUGAGUAUUUCAGAUGCUUAAUGUGAUAGCCUAGAUGCUCUGAGAUCCAAGUCCCCCUGGACACAAUGUUCUUUAAUCUUUUUAAAUGAUCUGUAAUGGAACCUUCGGGUAUGUAAUAGAGAACACAGUCUGUUAUGACUUAUUGACAAGAUUUUCUAAGAAGGGACUCAUUAAAAAAUGUCCCAAAUGAUAUAACUGAAGCUUAUUUUCUUUACUCCAUGGUGAUGUUUUGAAAUGUAACUUUAAAUGGUUCUGCCUUUGUAAAAUUUUUUUUAAAAAGAGAGCAACGUUCUGAUUUUAAUAUAUAUGUUAGCAAAACAAUUUAAAAUAUCUAAGAUGAUCUGUAUGAAAUCUUGUACACUGUUGGA